UGCCGUCUUUAAGUUGCCCAAAGUUCGCAUAUAUAAUGAGUAAAUAUUAGAAAACCUGCAAUUUUUCGGGCUUCAUAAUGAUGGAGUUUAUAUCUAUAUAUACACCAUUUAGUGCAAGCUUUUGCCGCGGAGUCGCUGUUGUAGUCGGUGUAUAUGUUUUUAUACAGAUUUAUGUUGUAAGCAUUUUACGAAGCCCUAAAAAAGGCAACAUGGCAAUAUCAUAUGUUUUAAUUUUUCAUCUUAAAGAUAACAAAUCUGUGAUUAUACAUUGUGUUUGAUUGAAUACGUUGUGCGGGCCUUGUGCGUCCCCAAUGAAGCGUUCGCAAUGAAUAGUAGCAAUGGUAAAUGCCAGUCAUGAAGAUGAAAUCAGGACAAAUGGAAGUGAGAAAAGAAAAGUAACGCUGGGCGUGAACGGUGGUCUAAGGCAGAAAAGUCACUAGUAUGUCAUUAUUUUAAGGAUCAUAUUCAGAAGAAAAUUGCGCCCAAAACAGGCGAGUGUGCAGAAUGCAUCCCUAAAUAUAAGGACUUUCCAAAGAAUAAAGACUGGCUGAAAAUAAAGACUUUAGUGUAUAAUACUUUUAGAGCAAAAUGACCCAUUUUACCAUUUUUCAUUUUAAAUUAGAAAUGUUUAUUAGUUUAACCGAAUGCAUUUUUCUUUAAUAGUUAUAUAAUAAGAUAUUUUACUUUUUCUUUA
Molecule: long non-coding RNA, 694 nt
Filed under: Diabrotica virgifera virgifera (western corn rootworm)
Lineage: Eukaryota; Metazoa; Arthropoda; Insecta; Coleoptera; Chrysomelidae
Description: uncharacterized LOC126892419
Source: RNAcentral